ACUCUCUGCUCAAGUCCUACCUCCCUUUCCUUACUCUUUUUCGAAUGGCAAAGCUAGCAGUUAACUAUCAUGAUUUACUGGGAUUACUGUAAAACUUUGAGAAGGAUCACCAGCUCCAAAAGGAGUCGGUAAAUGUUGUGGGAGGAUCUUCUUCUGGACGUCGAUCCUUUAAGAAAAAAAAGAAGAACAAGAAGAACAAGAAAAGGGUGCAAAGUGCUGAGGCACCCAAGCCCAGUC
Molecule: long non-coding RNA, 237 nt
Filed under: Elaeis guineensis (African oil palm)
Lineage: Eukaryota; Viridiplantae; Streptophyta; Magnoliopsida; Arecales; Arecaceae
Description: long non-coding RNA (EGUI_LNC076789)
Source: RNAcentral